This is a long non-coding RNA of Hyla sarda, 277 nucleotides long. RefSeq lists it as uncharacterized. Lineage: Eukaryota; Metazoa; Chordata; Amphibia; Anura; Hylidae. The transcript has 3 exons. The record is from RefSeq and is a predicted model, not a curated record.
GUGACGUGGAUAUGCCGACGUCCACGGCAUAUGUAGCGGCCAAUACAUGUGAGGUUGGUAACCAUAAAAAAAAGGGGGCAUCAUCUAUGUCUAGAGGAAAGAAGGCUUCACCAUUAUCACAGACAGGGAUUCUUAACUGUAAGAACAGUUAAGGACAUUUAUCAUCGUUGCUUUGAUCCGUGUAUCCUGUGGACUCCUUCAGAUUCGGUGGACUACGAUGACCAGCCUUUUUUUUUUGUUUAAUAUUAAUAAAAUGGUUACUGAGGGUUUGUGGGGG